Non-coding RNA from Zootermopsis nevadensis, 1250 nucleotides. The record is from RefSeq and is a predicted model, not a curated record. NCBI's taxonomy places the organism in Eukaryota, Metazoa, Arthropoda, Insecta, Blattodea, Termopsidae.
UCAGAAUACGAAUUUCAUGAAAUGUUUCAGAAAUAAAUGCUGAGAAAGAACUGGAAAACAAGAAAAUUGCUUUGAAUGACCUAGAAGAAGCGUUUCAUACUUGGAACAGAGAAAUUGAAAUCGUGGCAGAGAAGAAAGGAGAAGACGUUAGGAAAAUGACCCCAAAGAAACUGAAGGCUGAGAGACAAUCUGAAAAUUAUCUCAGUCACAUGAGGAAUGUGGAAACAUCAUAUCGUACUCUGACUGAAGAAGUUGUGGAAUUAAGGAACGAGAAUGCAGCGCAAGCACAAGAGAUCCGGAAACUGAAAAAAUUAUAGGAGUAGGAAAUCGACAAACAGUUUCAGAGAGACUUAUGAAGUUCAGUCCCUUCAAGAACGAAACAAGGAUCUGGAGGCUGCGGUGUGGCAGUUUGGAGCCAUUUGGAAUGUUGUGAGCAUCAGAAAGUGUCAGCUCUUAAGCUUCCUGUUAUGCAGUAUUCUCAAAUUCCAGAUUUUGCAUUUUGUGGCUGUAACCACAGUGACAAUCUGUGAUAUGCAGGUGUUGAAACGGCGUCAGAUCCAUGCCUUGCUUUUCCCGGAUAAAUGGUCGUCUCGAGCCUGGGUUACGUGGCAAUGUCGCCUUUAAUUUACGUGUCCAGCUUGACCAUGAAGAAUAAUGGGAGUUAAGAGAUGUCUGUUGCAGAAGAAUUUUAGGCUAGAGAGAAACUGGCUGACCAGAGCUAAGGAAUGAGGAGAUAGUGUGGGCCUUAUAAGCCAAACAGGGAUUCAUAGAGGAUGCCAGGAGCCCUACUUAGGUUAUGCGUACUCUCUUUUGUUUUAGGGUGCAGUCAGGUAGGGUUCCUGGUCCAUGCCUACUCAAUUCCUGAGCUCUGGUUGGCCAGUUUCUCUCUCCCCUUCCAAACAACCUUAUUUCAGCCCCGAAGAUGGAGGCAGUGUGUUCCUCUGAAAUGUUGUCUUUCAGCAUUACGGUCGAGAAGACCAACAUUGACAUCUCCCCUGCCUCAUAUGUGAGCGUCCGCUCACAAUGGGGAACUGUCUAAUAAUGAAUAAUGUUCCUGUAGUCAGUAUCAUAUUACAUUUAUUAUAACAGUUUAUUUACACUACAUCUGAGAGUUUGUACAUAUUAUUCAGAUUUUUAGAACAACAUUUGUAUCUUCUAACCAGAAGUAUUAUAAUUAUGUAUAUAUUGAUAAAUUAGAAGUCACUGAAAACAGAAGAAAAAAUAAAUAAAAUUGAGAUUCAUAUUUUAUA